AGAGUUUGAUCAUGGCUCAGGAUGAACGCUGGCGGCGUGCCCUAACACAUGCAAGUCGAGCGAUCUCUUCGGAGAGAGCGGCGGACGGGUGAGUAACGCGUGGGUAACCUGCCCUGUACACACGGAUAACAUACCGAAAGGUAUACUAAUACGGGAUAACAUACAAAAGUCGCAUGGCUUUUGUAUCAAAGCUCCGGCGGUACAGGAUGGACCCGCGUCUGAUUAGCUAGUUGGUAAGGUAAUGGCUUACCAAGGCAACGAUCAGUAGCCGACCUGAGAGGGUGAUCGGCCACACUGGAACUGAGACACGGUCCAGACUCCUACGGGAGGCAGCAGUGGGGAAUAUUGCACAAUGGGCGAAAGCCUGAUGCAGCAACGCCGCGUGAGCGAUGAAGGCCUUCGGGUCGUAAAGCUCUGUCCUCAAGGAAGAUAAUGACGGUACUUGAGGAGGAAGCCCCGGCUAACUACGUGCCAGCAGCCGCGGUAAUACGUAGGGGGCUAGCGUUAUCCGGAAUUACUGGGCGUAAAGGGUGCGUAGGUGGUUUUUUAAGUCAGAAGUGAAAGGCUACGGCUCAACCGUAGUAAGCUUUUGAAACUAGAGAACUUGAGUGCAGGAGAGGAGAGUAGAAUUCCUAGUGUAGCGGUGAAAUGCGUAGAUAUUAGGAGGAAUACCAGUAGCGAAGGCGGCUCUCUGGACUGUAACUGACACUGAGGCACGAAAGCGUGGGGAGCAAACAGGAUUAGAUACCCUGGUAGUCCACGCCGUAAACGAUGAGUACUAGGUGUCGGGGGUUACCCCCCUCGGUGCCGCAGCUAACGCAUUAAGUACUCCGCCUGGGAAGUACGCUCGCAAGAGUGAAACUCAAAUGAAUUGACGGGG
RNAcentral lists this ribosomal RNA (880 nucleotides) under uncultured Bacillota bacterium. Its description in RNAcentral is "bacterial SSU rRNA". It matches the Rfam family "Bacterial small subunit ribosomal RNA", at positions 8 to 918 of the family's 1533-position model. Lineage: Bacteria; Bacillati; Bacillota. The record is from RNAcentral.